AAAAAGUGGAGAAAAAAAAAUAAGAAGAGUAAGAAGAAGAAGGGGAGGACAAAGAAGAAUAUGAGUAUGAAGAAGAGGAAGAGGACGGGGAAGAACAAGAAUAAGAAGAGGGUAUUUAUAUUCAUUUAUGAAAAGAUAGUUUUGGGAUAUUAUAAAAUUUUAAAAUAAAAUUAUAAAUAAUAAAGAGGUGAUUAUAAACAGUAAU
Molecule: long non-coding RNA, 205 nt
Filed under: Musa acuminata (dwarf banana)
Lineage: Eukaryota; Viridiplantae; Streptophyta; Magnoliopsida; Zingiberales; Musaceae
Description: long non-coding RNA (MACU_LNC010403)
Source: RNAcentral